This is a long non-coding RNA of Aplysia californica (California sea hare), 870 nucleotides long. RefSeq lists it as uncharacterized. The record is from RefSeq and is a predicted model, not a curated record. NCBI's taxonomy places the organism in Eukaryota, Metazoa, Mollusca, Gastropoda, Aplysiida, Aplysiidae. The transcript has 2 exons.
UGAGGUUGAAGGCAGGAUAGUUGAAGGGUCCACCGGCCGACCGUGCCGGCUAGGCGUAUAGCACCACGUAGGGAUGGAGCAAGAGUUUGUGACGACAAAGGGACAACUUGAUAGACCAUACAUCCAUCGGGACAUGUUCCACCAGCGUUCUCUGGAGGUACGGUUUUGGGGUUCAAGUCGGCGGAACUCACUCUGAAAAAUGCGGACAACCGACGAGAUAAGACAACGACAUGUUUCUAUGCAGUGGUGUCUUUCACUGCUCAGACGAAAGCAACUUUGAGAACUUGGUCUAUUGUUGGUGAACUUGACGUCGCUUGUCUCCAUAGACAUAACGGGAGUGGAUAGAAAAGAAGACGGACGAAGUUAGAGUUAAGAAAAUAUUCGCGUUUUGCAGACUGUGCUUGAAGAAAAUUACAGUGUGAAGGCAUACUCUCGACACCCCUGGUACAUGAUGGAUUCUGGGGCGACGUCUUGUAUUGGAUGACUUUCCAGACAGCAAACAAGAACCGACAACUCUUGUGUUUGUGAAUGCUUGGUGUGAUUGUUGUAAAUUACAUGUAUUGAUGAAUAUUGUGUCCACUCAAAAACCAAUCACAUUCUUGAAAUGGAAGAGAACUUUACUUUGUGCGACUUCCUGGGAAACAAGGGAUAAAAAUUGAUCUGAUAAAAAAAUCGAGCUACAGGCUAACAUAAUGGUUAAUCAAUCUUGGGCCACAAGAAAAAGAAAUGAGCAAACAAAUAAAAUUAAUUUAUGAUAUUUUUUCUUUCAAAAUAGAAAACGGUUUCUCAAUAUAAUGCUUUAAAAUGUAUCAAUUUGGGUACAGCCCAACACUCGCUUGCAAAGGCCUACUAAAAAUAAUAUGGUUUAAG